This 75-nucleotide transfer RNA is filed under the name Escherichia coli. RNAcentral describes it as "tRNA-Thr(ggt)". It matches the Rfam family "tRNA". Rfam says of the family: Transfer RNA (tRNA) molecules are approximately 80 nucleotides in length. Lineage: Bacteria; Pseudomonadati; Pseudomonadota; Gammaproteobacteria; Enterobacterales; Enterobacteriaceae. The record is from RNAcentral.
GCUGAUAUGGCUCAGUGGUAGAGCGCACCCUUGGUAAGGGUGAGGUCCCCAGUUCGACUCUGGGUAUCAGCACCA